UACGUAGGGGGCGAGCGUUGUCCGGAAUUACUGGGCGUAAAGGGUGCGCAGGCGGUUUUUUAAGUCAGAUGUGAAAUACCCGGGCUUAACCUGGGGGGUGCAUUUGAAACUGGGGGACUUGAGUGCAGGAGAGGAAAGUGGAAUUCCUAGUGUAGCGGUGAAAUGCGUAGAUAUUAGGAGGAACACCAGUGGCGAAGGCGACUUUCUGGACUGUAACUGACGCUGAGGCACGAAAGCGUGGGGAG
RNAcentral lists this ribosomal RNA (245 nucleotides) under uncultured Eubacteriales bacterium. Its description in RNAcentral is "uncultured Clostridiales bacterium partial 16S ribosomal RNA". It matches the Rfam family "Bacterial small subunit ribosomal RNA", at positions 524 to 768 of the family's 1533-position model. Lineage: Bacteria; Bacillati; Bacillota; Clostridia; Eubacteriales. The record is from RNAcentral.